AGUGAACGCUGGCGGUAGGCCUAACACAUGCAAGUCGAACGGCAACACAGUAAGCUCUUGCUCUUACGGGUGGCGACUAGCGGACGGGUGACGAAUACAUCAGCAUCUACUUUUUGGGGGAGGAUAACGUAGGGCGACUUAUAAUAAUACAGCAUACCACCUAAGACUGAAAUCAAGGGUUAAUCGGACCAUGGCAGAUUAAAUGAGCCGAUGUCGGAUUAGCUAGUUGGCGGGGUAAAGGCCCACAAAGCCGACGAUCCGUACCUGGUCGGAGUGGAUGAUCGGCCACACUGGAACUGAGCCACGGUCCAGACUCCUACGGGAGGCAGCAGUGGGGAAUAUUGGACAAUGGGCGCAAGCCUGAUCCAGCCAUACCGCGUGGGUGAAGAAGGCCUUCGGGUUGUAAAGCCCUUUUGUUGGGAAAGAAAAGCAGCAGGUUAAUACCCCGCUGUUCUGACGGUACCCAAAGAAUAAGCACCGGCUAACUUCGUG
RNAcentral lists this ribosomal RNA (492 nucleotides) under uncultured bacterium. RNAcentral's name for it is "partial 16S ribosomal RNA". It matches the Rfam family "Bacterial small subunit ribosomal RNA", at positions 29 to 507 of the family's 1533-position model. The record is from RNAcentral.